This 400-nucleotide ribosomal RNA is filed under the name uncultured bacterium. RNAcentral describes it as "bacterial SSU rRNA". It matches the Rfam family "Bacterial small subunit ribosomal RNA", at positions 975 to 1375 of the family's 1533-position model. The record is from RNAcentral.
CAGGUCUUGACAUCCUCCUGAACAGUCUAGAGAUAGGCUGGGCCUUCGGGACAGGAGAGACAGGUGGUGCAUGGUUGUCGUCAGCUCGUGUCGUGAGAUGUUGGGUUAAGUCCCGCAACGAGCGCAACCCUUGAUCUUUGUUGCCAGCACGUAAAGGUGGGCACUCGGAGAUGACUGCCGGUGACAAACCGGAGGAAGGUGGGGAUGACGUCAAAUCAUCAUGCCCCUUAUGACCUGGGCUACACACGUACUACAAUGGCCGGUACAGAGGGCAGCGAGGCCGCGAGGCGGAGCGAAUCUCAGAAAGCCGGUCUCAGUUCGGAUUGCAGGCUGCAACUCGCUUGCAUGAAGCCGGAAUUGCUAGUAAUCGCGGAUCAGCAUGCCGCGGGAAUACGUUCCC